ACCCGCUGAACUUAAGCAUAUCAAUAAGCGGAGGAAAAGAAACUAACAAGGAUUCCCCUAGUAACGGCGAGUGAAGAGGGAAGAGCCCAAGAUGGAAAGCUGGCGCCUUCGGCGUCCGCAUUGUAAUCUCAAGAACUGUUUUCCGCUUCGGACCGAGCCUAAGUCCCUUGGAAAAGGGCAUCGUAGAGGGUGAGAAUCCCGUACAUGGCUCGGAGCGCCCGAGGCUUUGUGAUACAUUUUCAAAGAGUCGAGUUGUUUGGGAAUGCAGCUCAAAAUGGGUGGUAAAUGCCAUCUAAGGCUAAAUAUUGGGGAGAGACCGAUAGCGAACAAGUACCGUGAGGGAAAGAUGAAAAGAACUUUGAAAAGAGAGUUAAACAGUACGUGAAAUUGCCAAAAGGGAAGGGUAGGAGGUCAGAGAUGCGGUCUGGGAUUCAGCCUUGCUUUUGCUUGGUGUUUUUCCCAGUUUGCAGGCCAACGUCGGUUUUGGGCGCUGGAGAAGGGUGGGAGGAACGUGGGACCCCUCGGGGUGUGUUAUAGCCUCCUACUGGAUACAGUGACCGGGACCGAGGACAGCAGCGUACUCGCAAGAGCGGGCCUUUGGGCACCUUUACGCUUAGGGCGUUGGCAUAAUGGCCCUCUACCACCCGUCUUGAAACACGGACCA
RNAcentral lists this ribosomal RNA (664 nucleotides) under Tolyposporium neillii. RNAcentral's name for it is "LSU rRNA". It matches the Rfam family "Eukaryotic large subunit ribosomal RNA", at positions 23 to 668 of the family's 3401-position model. The record is from RNAcentral. Lineage: Eukaryota; Fungi; Basidiomycota; Ustilaginomycetes; Ustilaginales; Ustilaginaceae.